Molecule: ribosomal RNA, 459 nt
Filed under: uncultured bacterium
Lineage: Bacteria
Description: partial 16S ribosomal RNA
Rfam family: Bacterial small subunit ribosomal RNA
Source: RNAcentral
CCUACGGGAGGCUGCAGUGAGGAAUAUUGGUCAAUGGCCGCAGGGCUGAACCAGCCAAGUCGCGUGAGGGAUGACGGUCCUAUGGAUUGUAAACCUCUUUUGUCCGGGAGUAAAGGGCCCCACGUGUGGGGUUUUGCGAGUACCUGAUGAAAAAGGAUCGGCUAACUCCGUGCCAGCAGCCGCGGUAAUACGGAGGAUGCGAGCGUUAUCCGGAUUUAUGGGUUUAAAGGGGUGCGUAGGCGGAAUGUCAAGUCUGCGGUAAAAUUUCGGGGCUCAACCCCGUCUUGCCGGCGAAACUGGCGUUCUUGAGUGAGCGAGAAGUAGGCGGAAUGCGUGGUGUAGCGGUGAAAUGCAUAGAUAUCACGCAGAACUCCGAUUGCGAAGGCAGCAUACCGGCGCGCAACUGACGUUCAUGCACGAAAGCGUGGGUAUCGAACAGGAUUAGAUACCCCAGUAGUC